AACCAUCUAGUAGCUGGUUCCCUCCG
Molecule: non-coding RNA, 26 nt
Filed under: Arabidopsis thaliana (thale cress)
Lineage: Eukaryota; Viridiplantae; Streptophyta; Magnoliopsida; Brassicales; Brassicaceae
Also listed under: 3 other names
Source: RNAcentral